RNAcentral lists this ribosomal RNA (426 nucleotides) under uncultured bacterium. Its description in RNAcentral is "bacterial SSU rRNA". It matches the Rfam family "Bacterial small subunit ribosomal RNA", at positions 356 to 773 of the family's 1533-position model. The record is from RNAcentral.
AGGGAAUCUUCCGCAAUGGACGAAAGUCUGACGGAGCAACGCCGCGUGAGUGGUGAAGGUUUUCGGAUCGUAGAACUCUGUUGUUAGGGAAGAACAAGUACCGUUCGAAUAGGGCGGCACCUAGACGGUACCUAACCAGAAAGCCACGGCUAACUACGUGCCAGCAGCCGCGGUAAUACGUAGGUGGCAAGCGUUGUCCGGAAUUAUUGGGCGUAAAGCGCGCGCAGGCGGUCUUUUAAGUCUGAUGUGAAAGCCCACGGCUCAACCGUGGAGGGUCAUUGGAAACUGGAAGACUUGAGUGCAGAAGAGGAGAGUGGAAUUCCACGUGUAGCGGUGAAAUGCGUAGAGAUGUGGAGGAACACCAGUGGCGAAGGCGACUCUCUGGUCUGUAACUGACGCUGAGGCGCGAAAGCGUGGGGAGCAAAC